Long non-coding RNA from Monodelphis domestica (gray short-tailed opossum), 1219 nucleotides. RefSeq lists it as uncharacterized. The record is from RefSeq and is a predicted model, not a curated record. Lineage: Eukaryota; Metazoa; Chordata; Mammalia; Didelphimorphia; Didelphidae.
UAAGGCUUUGUGACUAAGAGGAUGAAUAAAGGGAUUCCUGAGAGAGGAAGAUUUCCCUGGGGAAAGUAUUGAAUCUAGAAUCUUGGGAUCUAGGUUCAAACUCCAGUUACAACAUUUAUUAUCUCUGUGAUUUAGUUUCCUUAUCUACAAAAUUAAAAGUUUUAACUAAAUUUUCUCUUAAGUCACUUCCACUGACUGAAUUCAAUCUUUGAGAUGAUGUGUUUGAGGCUACACAUCUAAGUAACACUACCUACAGGGGAGUUGAGAAAUCAGGACCAGAGCUGUAAUUUUUGCUUCCUUUUGGAUAUUUUGUUUCCUUUUAGUAUUAGUAGGCUUGUGCUAGACCUACUUUUCCUUACUUUGGCAUUGUUUCUUACCCAAGUUUUCCAAUUUUGCUAAUAAUUUUUUUCUACCAUCAUUUUGCACACAGACACUUGGAGAAGUCUCACAGACACCUGUGAGAAGCAGUUCUGCUAGACUUCUGCUGGAGGCUACUGGCAGUUCUACUGGAGUGGAGGCUGAUGAAGAAGAGGCUGAUAAAGAAUCUGCUGAUUGAACUGACAGGUGGUAUCCCUUCCACAUGAUGACUUUCUCCAUCAAAGUUUCCAUAUAUUGCGAGAAGAAAAUGGCAAACCACUCCAGGAUCUCUGCCAAGAAAACCCUAAAAUGAGAUCACAAAGAAUUGGACACAACUGAAAAACAACAACCAGUGAAAUAUCCAACUCAGACCUCUUCUAACAUCAAGAUGAAAGUAACCAGAAAAUAAGGUUAUGGGAAAAAGUACAAUUUCUGGUCUUUAGCAAGUUGAAAUGAAGAGGAAAAAUGUGAGCCAGAAAGGAAGAAGAUCCUUAUGAUUUGGGACACAAGAGUCCAGUAUCUCUACACUAAGACAUUCAUGAUGUAGUACAAAGAAGAACUGAUUGAAAGGGGGCAUUCCAAGGUUAAAUGCCAGUUCCUUCAACUGAUCUCAGGUGACAUGAAUUUCAGACUGCCAUACUGGUUGCCCUCUUCUGGAUACUCUCCAAGUCAUCAAUAUACUUCUUAAGAUGUGUAACACAGUAUAUAAGGUUCCAGUAUACAACAGGACUCUUACCUCUGUCUGAUAUGAUAUCUUCCUUGACUUACCUAUUUCUCUAUUGACUCCUAUUAAACUUGUAUUUGAUUUUAAAAAUCUAAGAAAUUAAAAAAAAUAAAAUGUUGUGUAUAGCCAUGCCUUAAA